RNAcentral lists this non-coding RNA (631 nucleotides) under Pan troglodytes (chimpanzee). Lineage: Eukaryota; Metazoa; Chordata; Mammalia; Primates; Hominidae. RNAcentral also lists the same sequence under 1 other name. The record is from RNAcentral.
GAUUCAGAAGUCGAUAAGACCAGGAGAAGUGAAGAUGUAACAUGUUAUCUGUCGCUCCUCUUAGCUGGCGGAGAGAAUUUACAUUUAAAGAUUAGCAGAGUGAGAAAGAGAAAUCUGCCUUUUGUUGUGUGGGGUGAGGAGGAGGCAUCUACCCCUGGCCUUGACGCUAUCUCCCAUCACCUCUGCUAUCCAGACAGGACUCACCGAGAAAAGAUUGAUCUCUGGGCUGGUGAACAUAAUCUCUGUCCCAGUCAGAAAAGGAGAGAGGAAAUUAGCAGAGCGAUUGGUGGAGAAUGAUAUCUGUCAAAAGAAACACUUGGAGAGCACUGAGUUUAGUAAUAGGUGACUGCCGGAAAAAAGGGAACUUUGAAUAUUGUCAAGGCGCACGCGCCCAGCACCCUGCCUCCGGCGAUGCCGCCCCAGCCCCUCUGAUGGCCCUCCUCUCUGCUGCCACUCAUUCCAGAACAGGAGGCAUGAGCCCGGAACGCGCUUGCUUUUAGGAGACAGCCACUUUCUGUGUGGUACGCUGGAUUCAAGGAUGCCUGAUAAACCCCACUUGAAAAACUGAGGUGCUUAAGGAGUAAAAUAAUAUGUUCCUGGUGGCAUCCUCCAGAUCGUACUGAGAAGCACU